Molecule: ribosomal RNA, 254 nt
Filed under: uncultured bacterium
Lineage: Bacteria
Description: partial 16S ribosomal RNA
Rfam family: Bacterial small subunit ribosomal RNA
Source: RNAcentral
UACGUAGGGGGCUAGCGUUGUCCGGAUUUAUUGGGCGUAAAGAGCUCGUAGGCGGCUUGUCGCGUCGACUGUGAAAACCCGUGGCUCAACCAUGUGGUCUGCAGUCGAUACGGGCAGGCUAGAAUUCGGUAGGGGAGACUGGAAUUCCUGGUGUAGCGGUGAAAUGCGCAGAUAUCAGGAGGAACACCGGUGGCGAAGGCGGGUCUCUGGGCCGAUAUUGACGCUGAGGAGCGAAAGCGUGGGGAGCGAACAGG